CUACGGGUCGCUGCAGUGAGGAAUAUUGCGCAAUGGACGAAAGUCUGACGCAGCCAUGCCGCGUGCAGGAUGACGGCGCUAUGCGUUGUAAACUGCUUUUAUAGGCCAAGAAACCUUCGGACGUGUCCGAAGCUGACGGUAGCAUAUGAAUAAGCACCGGCUAACUCCGUGCCAGCAGCCGCGGGUAAUACGGAGGGUGCAAGCGUUAUCCGGAUUUAUUGGGUUUAAAGGGUCCGUAGGCGGAUCAUUAAGUCAGUGGUGAAAGCCGGCAGCUCAACUGUCGAACUGCCAUUGAUACUGGUGAUCUUGAAUACGGUUGAAGUUGGCGGAAUAGGUCAUGUAGCGGUGAAAUGCUUAGAUAUGACCUAGAACACCGAUUGCGAAGGCAGCCAACUAAGCCGUUAUUGACGCUGAGGGACGAAAGCGUGGGGAGCGAACAGGAUUAGAUACCCUUGUAGUC
RNAcentral lists this ribosomal RNA (460 nucleotides) under uncultured bacterium. RNAcentral describes it as "partial 16S ribosomal RNA". It matches the Rfam family "Bacterial small subunit ribosomal RNA", at positions 339 to 795 of the family's 1533-position model. The record is from RNAcentral.